GGCUGAUACCCUGGAGUGUUGUGCAGCCCUUCAGAAGGACCUCAGCAGGUUGGAGAGAUGGGCAUAGAGAACCUUCUGAAAUGCAGCAGAGACAAAUGCAGGGUCCUGCACCUGGAGAAGGAAUAACCCCAGGCAUCAGCACAGGCUCAGGACUGACCUGCUGGAAAGCAGCUCUGCGGAGGAGGACCUGGGAGUCCUGGCUUCCAUGAGCCAGCAGUAUGUCUUUGUAGCCAAGAAGGACAAUGAUAUCCUGCAGUGCAUUAGGAAGAGCAUUGUCAGCAGGUCAGGGAGGUGAUCCUGCCCCUUUACUCAGCCCUGGUGAGUGCUGUGUCCAGUUCAGGGCUCCUCUGUACGAGAGAGACAUGGAACUCCUGGAGCAGGUCCAGUAUAAAGUGACAAAGAUGAUCAAGGGACUGGAGCAUCUCUCUUAU
This is a long non-coding RNA of Corvus hawaiiensis (hawaiian crow), 431 nucleotides long. RefSeq lists it as uncharacterized. NCBI's taxonomy places the organism in Eukaryota, Metazoa, Chordata, Aves, Passeriformes, Corvidae. The transcript has 3 exons. The record is from RefSeq and is a predicted model, not a curated record.